RNAcentral lists this ribosomal RNA (330 nucleotides) under uncultured eukaryote. RNAcentral's name for it is "partial 18S ribosomal RNA". It matches the Rfam family "Eukaryotic small subunit ribosomal RNA", at positions 1470 to 1796 of the family's 1831-position model. The record is from RNAcentral.
CCCUUAGAUGUUCUGGGCCGCACGCGCGCUACACUGAUGCAUUCAACGAGUCUAAAACCUGGUCUGAUAGGGCUGGGUAAUCUUUUGAAUGUGCAUCGUGAUUGGGAUAGAUGAUUGCAAUUCUUCAUCUUCAACGAGGAGUGCCUAGUAAACGCAAGUCAUCAGCUUGCAUUGAUUACGUCCCUGCCCUUUGUACACACCGCCCGUCGCUCCUACCGAUUGAAUGUUCCGAUGAAUACCAUGGACUGAGAGUAUGAAUGGGUUCGCCUAUUUCUGCUUCUCGGGAAGUGGAGUAAAUCUUAACAUUUAGAGGAAGGAGAAGUCGUAACA